AAUGAACGCUGGCGGCAUGCCUUACACAUGCAAGUCGAACGGCAGCAUGACCUAGCUUGCUAGGUUGAUGGCGAGUGGCGAACGGGUGAGUAAUGCAUCGGAACGUGCCUUUUAGUGGGGGAUAACGUAGCGAAAGUUACGCUAAUACCGCAUAUUCUCUGAGGAGGAAAGCAGGGGGCCUUCGGGCCUUGCGCUAGAAGAGCGGCCGAUGUCGGAUUAGCUAGUUGGUGAGGUAAAGGCUCACCAAGGCAACGAUCCGUAGCGGGUCUGAGAGGAUGAUCCGCCACACUGGGACUGAGACACGGCCCAGACUCCUACGGGAGGCAGCAGUGGGGAAUUUUGGACAAUGGGCGCAAGCCUGAUCCAGCCAUGCCGCGUGAGUGAAGAAGGCCUUCGGGUUGUAAAGCUCUUUCGGCUGGGAAGAAAUCGCACUCUCUAAUACAGGGUGUGGAUGACGGUGCCAGCAGAAGAAGCACCGGCUAACUACGUG
RNAcentral lists this ribosomal RNA (490 nucleotides) under uncultured bacterium. Its description in RNAcentral is "partial 16S ribosomal RNA". It matches the Rfam family "Bacterial small subunit ribosomal RNA", at positions 29 to 507 of the family's 1533-position model. The record is from RNAcentral.